ACUGGUUAUAGGUAAUAUUGUUCUUCUCGAACUUAUGACUACUCCUGAGUGAUUAAACUGUCCAGUGGCUUUCUCUAUCUAGCAUAGUCGCAUUUAGGUUGCGUUUUGCAAUGAAUUUGUCUCUAAUUUUCCUUCCAUGUGGUUUGUGCAGCAAACAAUCAAAUGGUAUUGUUGAUGCAUAUUCAUUUCAUUAGAUAACGAUGAUUAUAAAAAUCAUGAACCACAUUCAUGACACUUGCAUGGACCUGUGCUAACUGAAUCUCGUUUGCUAGGUCUGACUUCUCCGAGCACAAGAAGAUUGAUAAGCAAGAGGCACUAGUACUGGAGGCAAAAGGCAGUAGCUUUUCUGUUGUGUACCAAACAGAGCAAACUUGAUGCAAAUUCUGACGGCAAGCUUGUUCAGCAGACAGCGGUGCUUACUUUAGUCCUGCAUACUUUGUGUUGUCUGUGAUGUACCAAAAAUGGUCCUCUCCAUGUUAUGUACUCCCUCCGUUCGAAAUUACUUGUCGCGAAAAUGAAUGUAUGUAGACGUAUUUUAGUUCUAGAUACAUUCAUUUCCGAGACAAGUAAUUUCGAACGGAGGGAGUAACACUUUAUAUGCAUGUGUGUCGUCUCUAUUCUGUUCUGUUCUGUCUGGGAUCGUGCAAUUUAAAAUGUAUGUGUAGUUAUGGUUUAAAGUGGAUGGAUUAAUUUUCUCAUGUCUCAGAAAUUUGUGAUGUUCCCAUACAUUUUAGUGACGAACAUGUUUGGAUUUCUUACAUGAUUCUGAAUGUAGCAGAAGCUACUAAUGAAAUGAAAUAUAUAUCAAAUUUCGUACAGUACAUAUGCAAUUUUUUCUGGACCGGUACAGAUUUGAGAAAUUGUCUUAUUUAUGAGGGACAGAAUGUUUGAUAUAUCAGAAAUUUGGGGUGGUUAUUGCAAAAGUUACCUUCCAUAUGUAAAUACUAGUAGGGGUUUUUGAAGAAAUGUACACUUACAACCCUCCCACUCAAUCUGUACCAAUCAUCUUCGAUCCGAUGACCAUGGUUCGUUUUUCUAUUCUUUC
This 1045-nucleotide long non-coding RNA is filed under the name Triticum aestivum (bread wheat). RNAcentral describes it as "long non-coding RNA (TAES_LNC023036)". The stretch from base 478 to 592 matches the Rfam family "MIR1120/MIR1122 microRNA precursor family". Lineage: Eukaryota; Viridiplantae; Streptophyta; Magnoliopsida; Poales; Poaceae. The record is from RNAcentral.